UCGCGAAUUUUUCACAAUGGGCGCAAGCCUGAUGAAGCCACGCCGUGUGCGGGAUGAAGGCCCUCUGGGUUGUAAACCGCUGUCAAGUGGGGGGAAACGCGUGAGGUGAAUAGCCUUACGUUUGACUGCCCGCUAAAGGAAGCCCCGGCAAAACAUGUGCCAGCAGCCGCGGUAAUACAUGUGGGGCAAGCGUUGUUCGGAAUUACUGGGCAUAAAGGGUGCGUAGGUGGUUUGUUAAGUCAGUGGUGAAAUCCGGUGGCCCAACCAUCGAACUGCCAUUGAUACUGGCGAACUUGAGUGCGUGAGGGGUGACUGGAACGAGUGGUGUAGCGGUGAAAUGCGUAGAUAUCACUCGGAAUACCAAAGGCGAAGGCAGGUCACUGGUACGUAACUGACACUGAGGCACGAAAGCGUGGGGAGCAAACAGG
RNAcentral lists this ribosomal RNA (428 nucleotides) under uncultured bacterium. RNAcentral describes it as "bacterial SSU rRNA". It matches the Rfam family "Bacterial small subunit ribosomal RNA", at positions 355 to 776 of the family's 1533-position model. The record is from RNAcentral.